RNAcentral lists this unclassified non-coding RNA (301 nucleotides) under Hevea brasiliensis (rubber tree). Lineage: Eukaryota; Viridiplantae; Streptophyta; Magnoliopsida; Malpighiales; Euphorbiaceae. The record is from RNAcentral.
ACGCAAACCAACAAGUUCAGGAUCAAAUACAAAAGCAAUGAUAGAAAAUUAAAUACAAAACGGGAAAAAAAAAAUCUUCACCUCUGGAGUUUUAUCUCCCUCUCUUCAAAUCUCUUAGAUCUAGGUAGAUAAUGAUAGAGAAAUACAAAGGACCAUGAUUGGGAUCGGUAACGUUAAAUAGACAGGCGCAGGACCUGAAAUCGGUUUAGGGAAAAAAAAAAUUGUUUGAUGGGUGAGGGAACUGAGAGGAAGCCGAGAGAAGAGAAUAAGAUAUGUAUUAGUGAAUAAAAAGACAUGUAUA